UACGUAGGGUGCAAGCGUUGUCCGGAAUUAUUGGGCGUAAAGAGCUCGUAGGCGGUUUGUCGCGUCUGCUGUGAAAACUCGGGGCUUAACCCCGGGCCUGCAGUGGGUACGGGCAGACUAGAGUGCGGUAGGGGAGACUGGAAUUCCUGGUGUAGCGGUGAAAUGCGCAGAUAUCAGGAGGAACACCGGUGGCGAAGGCGGAUCUCUGGGCCUUACCUGACGCUGAGGCGCGAAAGCUAGGGGAGCGAACAGG
RNAcentral lists this ribosomal RNA (253 nucleotides) under uncultured bacterium. RNAcentral describes it as "partial 16S ribosomal RNA". It matches the Rfam family "Bacterial small subunit ribosomal RNA", at positions 524 to 776 of the family's 1533-position model. The record is from RNAcentral.